RNAcentral lists this ribosomal RNA (452 nucleotides) under uncultured bacterium. RNAcentral's name for it is "bacterial SSU rRNA". It matches the Rfam family "Bacterial small subunit ribosomal RNA", at positions 354 to 796 of the family's 1533-position model. The record is from RNAcentral.
GUGGGGAAUUUUGCGCAAUGGGCGAAAGCCUGACGCAGCAACGCCGCGUGGAGGAUGAAGGUGCUCUGCAUCGUAAACUCCUGUCGGCCGGGAAGAAAGGGCGGCGCAGUAACUGGCGUCGUCGUUGACUGUACCGGCAAAGGAAGCCCCGGCUAACUCCGUGCCAGCAGCCGCGGUAAUACGGAGGGGGCAAGCGUUACUCGGAAUUAUUGGGCGUAAAGGGCGCGUAGGCGGUCCUGUGCGUCGGAGGUGAAAUCCCCGGGCUUAACCCGGGUGCUGCCUCCGAUACGGCAGGACUUGAGUCCGGGAGAGGGGAGCAGAAUUCCCAGUGUAGCGGUGAAAUGCGUAGAUAUUGGGAGGAAUACCAGUGGCGAAGGCGGCUCCCUGGACCGGUACUGACGCUGAGGCGCGAAAGCGUGGGUAGCAAACAGGAUUAGAAACCCCUGUAGUCC